AUUGAACGCUGGCGGCAUGCCUUACACAUGCAAGUCGAACGGCAGCACGGGAGCAAUCCUGGUGGCGAGUGGCGAACGGGUGAGUAAAGUAUCGGAACGUGCACAGUCGUGGGGGAUAACGUAGCGAAAGUUACGCUAAUACCGCAUACGAUCUAUGGAAGAAAGCGGGGGAUCGCAAGACCUCGCGCGAUUGGAGCGGCCGAUAUCAGAUUAGGUAGUUGGUGGGGUAAAGGCUCACCAAGCCGACGAUCUGUAGCUGGUCUGAGAGGACGACCAGCCCCACUGGGACUGAGACCCGGCCCAGACUCCUACGGGAGGCAGCAGUGGGGAAUGUUGGACAAUGGGCGCAAGCCUGAUCCAGCCAUGCCGCGUGCAGGAUGAAGGCCUUCGGGUUGUAAACUGCUUUUGUACGGAACGAAAAGGUUUGACUUAAUACGUUGGACUCAUGACGGUACCGUAAGAAUAAGCACCGGCUAACUACGUGCCAGCCGCCGCGGUAA
RNAcentral lists this ribosomal RNA (500 nucleotides) under uncultured bacterium. RNAcentral describes it as "partial 16S ribosomal RNA". It matches the Rfam family "Bacterial small subunit ribosomal RNA", at positions 30 to 523 of the family's 1533-position model. The record is from RNAcentral.